Molecule: ribosomal RNA, 374 nt
Filed under: uncultured organism
Description: partial 16S ribosomal RNA
Rfam family: Bacterial small subunit ribosomal RNA
Source: RNAcentral
GUAGGUGGCAAGCGUUGUCCGGAAUUAUUGGGCGUAAAGCGCGCGCAGGCGGGUUCUUUAAGUCUGAUGUGAAAGCCCACGGGCUCAACCGUGGAGGGUCAUUGGAAACUGGAGAACUUGGGUACAGAAGAGGAAAGCGGAAUUCCACGUGUAGCGGUGAAAUGCGUAGAGAUGUGGAGGAACACCAGUGGCGAAGGCGGCUUUCUGGUCUGUAACUGACGCUGAGGCGCGAAAGCGUGGGGAGCAAACAGGAUUAGAUACCCUGGUAGUCCACGCCGUAAACGAUGAGUGCUAAGUGUUAGGGGGUUUCCGCCCCUUAGUGCUGCAGCUAACGCAUUAAGCACUCCGCCUGGGGAGUACGGCCGCAAAGGCUG